This 76-nucleotide transfer RNA is filed under the name bacterium CG10_46_32. Its description in RNAcentral is "tRNA-Pro". It matches the Rfam family "tRNA". From Rfam's summary of the family: Transfer RNA (tRNA) molecules are approximately 80 nucleotides in length. Their secondary structure includes four short double-helical elements and three loops (D, anti-codon, and T loops). Further hydrogen bonds mediate the characteristic L-shaped molecular structure. tRNAs have two regions of fundamental functional importance: the anti-codon, which is responsible for specific mRNA codon recognition, and the 3' end, to which the tRNAs corresponding amino acid is attached (by aminoacyl-tRNA synthetases). tRNAs cope with the degeneracy of the genetic code in two manners: having more than one tRNA (with a specific anti-codon) for a particular amino acid; and 'wobble' base-pairing, i.e. permitting non-standard base-pairing at the 3rd anti-codon position. The record is from RNAcentral. RNAcentral also lists the same sequence under 1 other name.
CGGGCUGUGGCGCAGUUGGUAGCGCGCAAGGCUGGGGGUCUUGAGGUCGCGGGUUCGAGACCCGCCAGCCCGACCA